This 443-nucleotide ribosomal RNA is filed under the name uncultured bacterium. RNAcentral's name for it is "partial 16S ribosomal RNA". It matches the Rfam family "Bacterial small subunit ribosomal RNA", at positions 338 to 795 of the family's 1533-position model. The record is from RNAcentral.
CCUACGGGAGGCUGCAGUGGGGAAUAUUGGGCAAUGGGCGCAAGCCUGACCCAGCAACGCCGCGUGAAGGAAGACGGCUUUCGGGUUGUAAACUUCUUUUCUGAGGGACGAAGAAAGUGACGGUACCUCAGGAAUAAGCCACGGCUAACUACGGGCCAGCAGCCGCGGUAAUACGUAGGUGGCAAGCGUUAUCCGGAUUUCUUGGGUGUAAAGGGCGUGUAGGCGGGAAAGCAAGUCAGAUGUGAAAACUCAGGGCUCCACCCUGAGCCUGCAGUUGAAACUGUUUUUCUUGAGUGCUGGAGAGGUAAUCGGAAUGCCGGGUGUAGCGGUGAAAUGCGUAGAUAUACGGAGGAACACCAGUGGCGAAGGCAGAUUGCUGGACAGUAACUGACGCUGAGGCGCGAAAGCGUGGGGAGCGAACAGGAUUAGAUACCCUAGUAGUC